AUUGAACGCUGGCGGCAGGCCUAACACAUGCAAGUCGAGCGGAAGAAGGGUGCUUGCUCCUGGAUUCAGGGGCGGACGGGCGAGUAAUGCCUAGGAAUCUGCCUGUUUGUGGGGGAUAACGUCCGGAAACGGGCGCUAAUACCGCAUACGUCCUUAGGGCGAAAGGGGGGGAUCUUCGGACCUUACGCUAUCAGAUGAGCCGAUGACGGAUUAGCUAGUUGGUGGGGUAAAGGCCUACCAAGGCGACGAUCCGUAACUGGGCUGAGAGGAGGAGCAGUCACACUGGAACUGAGAGACGGUCCAGACUCCUACGGGAGGCAGCAGUGGGGAAGAUUGGACAAUGUGCGCAAGCCUGAUCCAGCCAUACCGCGUGGGGGAAGAAGGCCUUCGGGUUGUAAAGCCCUUUUGUUGGGAAAGAAAAGCAGCAGGUUAAUACCCCGCUGUUCUGACGGUACCCAAAGAAUAAGCACCGGCUAACUUCGUG
This 484-nucleotide ribosomal RNA is filed under the name uncultured bacterium. Its description in RNAcentral is "partial 16S ribosomal RNA". It matches the Rfam family "Bacterial small subunit ribosomal RNA", at positions 30 to 507 of the family's 1533-position model. The record is from RNAcentral.